RNAcentral lists this long non-coding RNA (311 nucleotides) under Nicotiana benthamiana. RNAcentral describes it as "long non-coding RNA (NBEN_LNC012608)". Lineage: Eukaryota; Viridiplantae; Streptophyta; Magnoliopsida; Solanales; Solanaceae. The record is from RNAcentral.
ACAAGAAUUGCAACAACUCUGUGUAGUCAAGAAUCUUUCUAUUCAUGAUGUGGUUAUGCGAUUAAUGCGGAAGGAAAAUUAUUUGAUAGGAAUGCUUAACAAAGGGCUCCUUGCUUUUCCUAUUUCUCACUGGGUACCUGGUGCUGGUCCAACUAUCAAAUGUGGCCCUAGGAAUGCUUAACAAAGGGCUCCUCGCUUUUCCUAUUUCUCACUGGGUACCUGGCGCUGGUCCAACUAUCAAAUGUGGCCCUAAUGGAGUGCAUAGUCGUCUAAUAUUGACAAAAACCCUUGAAUGGACCAUAAAUUGGUGC